This 388-nucleotide ribosomal RNA is filed under the name uncultured eukaryote. RNAcentral's name for it is "partial 18S ribosomal RNA". It matches the Rfam family "Eukaryotic small subunit ribosomal RNA", at positions 592 to 976 of the family's 1831-position model. The record is from RNAcentral.
CAAUAGCGUAUAUUAAAGUUGUUGCAGUUAAAAAGCUCGUAGUUGGAUUUCUGAUCGAGACAUCAGGUCGGGUCCGAGAGGAUCAUGUACUUUGAUUUUGUUUUGAUCAUCCUUGGGGAGAGCAUUUCUGGCAUUCAGUUGUCGGGAUUGGGAUCCUCAUCGUUUACUGUGAAAAAAUUAGAGUGUUCAAAGCAGGCCUCGGCCUCUGAAUACAUUAGCAUGGAAUAAUAAGAUAGGACUUUGGUGGUCUAUUUUGUUGGUUUGCACGCCAAAGUAAUGAUUAAUAGGGAUAGUUGGGGGUAUUCGUAUUCAAUUGUCAGAGGUGAAAUUCUUGGAUUUAUGGAAGACGAGCUACUGCGAAAGCAUUUACCAAGGAUGUUUUCAUUAA